This 201-nucleotide unclassified non-coding RNA is filed under the name Hevea brasiliensis (rubber tree). Lineage: Eukaryota; Viridiplantae; Streptophyta; Magnoliopsida; Malpighiales; Euphorbiaceae. The record is from RNAcentral.
CAUCAGGCUUAGAGAGAGAAGCACCGUCCUGUUCAACAAAUCUGCACAGUUUCUCCAAAUCUCCAUAAGCAGAAGCGGAGAAAACAUCGAUCACAGUAGGUGCGUUGCCAUUAGGACUUUGCUCCGGCUGCGNNNNNNNNCCGAUGACACUACCUCGAUCUCUGAAGAUGCCAUACGUAGAUUGACCAAUGCAUGCGGGAU